GCAGUGGGGAAUUUUGCGCAAUGGGCGAAAGCCUGACGCAGCAACGCCGCGUGCGGGAUGAAGGCCCUAGGGUUGUAAACCGCUUUCAGCAGGGACGAACGUGACGGUACCUGCAGAAGAAGCCCCGGCUAACUACGUGCCAGCAGCCGCGGUAAUACGUAGGGGGCAAGCGUUAUCCGGAUUCAUUGGGCGUAAAGCGCGCGUAGGCGGCUUGUUAAGUCAGAUGCGAAAACCGGGGGCUCAACCCGCGGCCUGCAUCUGAAACUGGCAGGCUUGAGUCUGGUAGAGGAAAGUGGAAUUCCUGGUGUAGCGGUGAAAUGCGCAGAUAUCAGGAGGAACACCAGUGGCGAAGGCGGCUUUCUGGGCCACGACUGACGCUGAGGCGCGAAAGCUAGGGGAGCGAACAGGAUUAGAUACCCUAGUAGUCC
Molecule: ribosomal RNA, 428 nt
Filed under: uncultured Actinomycetes bacterium
Lineage: Bacteria; Bacillati; Actinomycetota; Actinomycetes
Description: bacterial SSU rRNA
Rfam family: Bacterial small subunit ribosomal RNA
Source: RNAcentral